AACGAACGCUGGCGGCAGGCCUAACACAUGCAAGUCGAGCGCCCGUAGCAAUACGGGAGCGGCAGACGGGUGAGUAACACGUGGGAACGUGCCCAAAGGUACGGAACAACUCCGGGAAACUGGAGCUAAUACCGUAUGUGCCCGAAAGGGGAAGAUUUAUCGCCUUUGGAUCGGCCCGCGUCUGAUUAGCUAGUUGGUGAGGUAAUGGCUCACCAAGGCGACGAUCAGUAGCUGGCUGAGAGGAUGAUCAGCCACACUGGGACUGAGACACGGCCCAGACUCCUACGGGAGGCAGCAGUGGGGAAUAUUGGACAAUGGGCGCAAGCCUGAUCCAGCCAUGCCGCGUGAGUGAUGAAGGCCCUAGGGUUGUAAAGCUCUUUCGGCGGGGACGAUAAUGACGGUACCCGCAGAAGAAGCCCCGCUAACUUCGUGCCAGCAGCCGCUGUAAC
This 449-nucleotide ribosomal RNA is filed under the name uncultured bacterium. RNAcentral's name for it is "bacterial SSU rRNA". It matches the Rfam family "Bacterial small subunit ribosomal RNA", at positions 29 to 524 of the family's 1533-position model. The record is from RNAcentral.